CGCAUCUGUGCAUGCAGCAUAUCAAUAAGCGGAGGAAAAGAAACUAACAAGGAUUCCCUUAGUAACGGCGAGUGAAGCGGGAAGAGCUCAAAUUUGAAAUCUUCAAGGUUUUACCUUGACGAAUUGUAGUUUAAAGAAGUGUUUUCUGUUGAGGUUUUGGUAAAAGUUCUUUGGAAUAGGACAUCAUAGAGGGUGAGAAUCCCGUAUUUGACCAUUAUUUUCAGCUGCGUGAUACACUUUCAAAGAGUCGGAUUGUUUGGGAAUGCAGUCCAAAAUGGGUGGUAAAUUUCAUCUAAAGCUAAAUAUUGGCGAGAGACCGAUAGCGAACAAGUACCGUGAGGGAAAGAUGAAAAGAACUUUGAAAAGAGAGUUAAACAGUACGUGAAAUUGUCAAAAGGGAAGCGUUUGACACCAGUGUUGUUUUCUCGAAAAUCAAUUAAAAAGAGUUAGAUUUUGUUGUGUAUUGACCUUAACAGCUUGCAUUUCAAUUUUCUUGCUUUUUUUAAUGCACUUUUCGUUUAACAAGUCAACAUCAGUUUCUUUCGUUGUAAAAAGGUCAUUGGAAGGUGGCUUUCUUUUCGGAGAAAGUGUUUAUAGCCUUUGACUCCUGCAAUCGGAGAGACUGAGGUCUGCAGCGUAGAUCCUUCGGGGUUAGAUACAUUUGUGCUAAGUUAUAGCUUUUUAUAGACAACUUGUUGACUAUGAUUAGUCUUGUAGCUUACUCGCUUAUGCUAUUUUACCUACGCUUAGGAUGUUGACACACGCGCGUGCUCG
RNAcentral lists this ribosomal RNA (774 nucleotides) under uncultured Neocallimastigales. RNAcentral describes it as "partial large subunit ribosomal RNA". It matches the Rfam family "Eukaryotic large subunit ribosomal RNA", at positions 26 to 644 of the family's 3401-position model. The record is from RNAcentral. Lineage: Eukaryota; Fungi; Neocallimastigomycota; Neocallimastigomycetes; Neocallimastigales.